AGAGUUCAUUUCCAUCGUGGCGAUUGCUGGAAGAAGACAUCGAGAAGUCGUCGAACACGGACGAGCGGGCCUGACCCUUCGCUGCCUGUGGAGUACGUGCGACCUGCGAGCGUCACCUGGUGCGGAUGAAAUCACAUGGAGGCCACAAGAUACCAUAUCAAGCAAAUUGUUGAGUAUCGAAUGGCCAAGUAUCGAGUGAAAAUUGAACACUGACUCACUUCACCGGGAAUCGCUCUGAAAAUAAUUUAAAAAGUCCUACUACUGCUGCUCUGCACGCUGACUCACUUCACCAGGAAUCUUUCCAGAAACAUGUUACCAGUCCUUUCAACUACUGCUGCUCUGCACACUGACUCCUUCAUCAGGAAUCGCUCUCUGAAAAUAAUUUAAAAAGUCCUUGCAUCUAAUGCUGCUCUGCACACUGACCCUUCACCAGGAAUCGCUCUGAAAAUAAUUUAAAAAGUACUUUCAACCACUGCUGCUCUGGACACUGACCCCUUCACCAAGAAUCGCUCUGAAAAUAAUUUAAAAAGUACUUUCAACCACUGCUAUUACUGCCCUGAAGCCUUAAAAUCAAGAGCUCGGAACACUCAUUCAUGUGAAUGACUCGCAAGUGGUUUUUUUCAAUGACUGUCUAUAAUUAUGCAUGAUUAACUUAACUCUUAUUAACUCAAUAACAUGACUAACCUCACUAACUUAAUUAGGCAGUUAAUAUAAAAACCACUUGUUGAGUUUUACUAUGAAGGUCUUAAUGGGGUUACGUGGAAGACACCGCUGCAUGAUUAAUCAGGGUAACCAACUUCAAGCCAAGUGCUCUUCAACGCUCAAGUUGCUCAUGAGUGAGAACAAUCAUUUGAUCUACUAAUUAUGCUGUCCGUCCGUCCGUCCGUCCGUCUCUUCACCAGAGAAGAUGCCUAC
Molecule: long non-coding RNA, 915 nt
Organism: Ctenocephalides felis (cat flea)
Lineage: Eukaryota; Metazoa; Arthropoda; Insecta; Siphonaptera; Pulicidae
Exons: 9
Source: RefSeq, a predicted model, not a curated record